GUAGCUUUGGCAGUACAUAUCCUAAAAUUGUAAUGAUACAGAGAUUAUUAGUAUGGCCCCUGUGCAAGGAUGACACACAAAUUCAUGAAGCAUUCCAUAAAAGA
Molecule: small nuclear RNA, 104 nt
Organism: Suncus etruscus (white-toothed pygmy shrew)
Lineage: Eukaryota; Metazoa; Chordata; Mammalia; Eulipotyphla; Soricidae
Source: RefSeq, a predicted model, not a curated record